AGACAAAAAUUUACGUUUGAAGUCAAGUGGUACAUUCCGUUGACGGAAGUUCUCUUGUUCAAUCCAGAAGAUGCCGAAGAAGUGAAAGAAAGUACAUCCGUUGACAUUGUUACUCUAAAGACUCGAGCCUCUACCGUCCGAGAUCAGAUUCUUAAAGAAGAGAGAAUUAAUCAGGGAAAGGAG
This is a long non-coding RNA of Limulus polyphemus (Atlantic horseshoe crab), 183 nucleotides long. RefSeq lists it as uncharacterized. The transcript is spliced from 2 exons. NCBI's taxonomy places the organism in Eukaryota, Metazoa, Arthropoda, Merostomata, Xiphosura, Limulidae. The record is from RefSeq and is a predicted model, not a curated record.